AUACUCUAGUUCUUUUCGGAUCAAAUAAAGCUUUCGCCUUUACUAAAGAUUUCCGUGGAGAAGGUCAUCCAUGAGUUGUCACAAAAUACUUGCCCCUUGCGGGCUAAGUCAUGG
Bombina bombina (fire-bellied toad) is the source of this 114-nucleotide small nuclear RNA. RefSeq annotates it as U5 spliceosomal RNA. Lineage: Eukaryota; Metazoa; Chordata; Amphibia; Anura; Bombinatoridae. The transcript has a single exon. The record is from RefSeq and is a predicted model, not a curated record.